UACGAAGGGGGCUAGCGUUGCUCGGAAUGACUGGGCGUAAAGGGCGCGUAGGCGGUUUGUACAGUCAGAUGUGAAAUUCCCGGGCUCAACCUGGGGGCUGCAUUUGAUACGUGCGGACUUGAGUGGGGAAGAGGGUCGUGGAAUUCCCAGUGUAGAGGUGAAAUUCGUAGAUAUUGGGAAGAACACCGGUGGCGAAGGCGGCGACCUGGUCCUUGACUGACGCUGAGGCGCGAAAGCGUGGGGAGCAAACAGG
Molecule: ribosomal RNA, 253 nt
Filed under: uncultured bacterium
Lineage: Bacteria
Description: partial 16S ribosomal RNA
Rfam family: Bacterial small subunit ribosomal RNA
Source: RNAcentral